CCCUCAAGCUCCCAGGCCUCUGGUAGAGGACCCGAGCUUGGAGGAGAAACCACCCGCGGAGGGUGAGAGGUGCGUUUUAGAAAAUAAGUUCCUGAUUCUCUAGUAACCAUUAAGAGUUCUGAUUCACACAAACCAGUUAGACUCUCCUAAUCAACCUGUCACCUGACUUGAAGAGACCAGUUUGAAUUAAUCACCUGUAGAAAAGACACCUGUCUUGCAUGUGUCAGAGUUAUAUAAUUAUCAUUUGCUUGCACACUAUGUGUGUAAUAUGAUUGUCUCAUUUCUAUCUUUCAGUAAGAAAACAAUGACCUGAAAAGUUCUGAUUACACUAGAAUAUGAUGUUCUUGUUGUUUCUGAUUAAAUGACCCACAUUCAUUUCUGCAACCUUCAGUUUUCAAUGAAAGAAGGCUCCAUGCACUAGGAUGGCAGAACUCCUCGGUGACAGUUUGCGCUGUCACAGACUGAUUCUCCUUCUGCAGAAGUCUAGCAAAAAAAAGCUGUUAUGUGUGUACUUUCAUGCCGUAUGCUUCCAACAAUACAGGUCUCCGCCCAGGCAAUAUCACCAGAAGACAACAAGAUUGCCUGUAUGAACUUAGCACACACCCUGGCUACAACCGAACUAACAGGAGGAAAUUCAACUCCUGGAGCAAAAGGAAUUACUCUGAGCGGUUUUGGGUUCCUCCCAAUAACCCCCGUGGACCAUGUGGCCCAAUGAGAGACCUGUUGCCACUACCACAAGACCCCAUUAAGCUCCCGGAGGUGAUAUCUUUGGUGAGCAUGAAGCCUGGCUUACUUGGACGUUGUGUAUACAACAAUGGCACAGUGAAAGUGGGCAUGGUGCCCUGGCAUCUGUGUAACGUUACCUUGACCUUCUGUGACUACAAUCUUACAGUUCGAUCUAACUACUCAGCUUGUAUGCAGAAAACCAACAGGAUCAGAGGAAGCUGUGGAUUAUUCCUGAGCAAACGGACAUUUGACAUAACAAACCAGACCAAAGGUAAAACCUAGCAGGUUGCAGUACCAUAGUGCCUGGGGACUGAGGAUCCAGGGUCCUAGCUGAUUGGUACUUCCUGUGAGGACACACUGCCUAUGCAUCCCUACCUCCAAACUGGGGAGGCCUUUGUGCUCUGGUCCCUCUGGUUCCACCUGUGUUCUUCAUAAACAGAACUGUCCCAACACCCCACCCUGCACGACGGAAACGUGCCGCACCGGAGUUCCACAUGAACGCCCUACAAAUGACUACCACUACUGGAGUCCCAUGGGAGUUCCGCAUCUGGGGUGGAGGAGCAAAAUUCGGACAGUCACUCCUUCCAUGGAUCGGAGUGGGAGAAAUAAGAGACCACAUCGAGAUCAACAUGUACGCAUUGCUGAGACUCCUUAACACCACCUACAAGUUUCCCAAUGCAUCAGCAGCAGAAACGUCGGCCAUAAGAACUAUGGUUCUGCAAAAUCGACUCGUGCCCGACCUCCUAACUGCAUCAUCAGGAGGUGUGUGCAAAAUGGUUGGAGACACCUGCUGAACUCUCAUCCCGGACGGCACCAGUGAUGGACAGGACAUUUCUACUGCACUGCACGACUUAGCAGAGCUGCAAGCCUAUGUUAAGUCUGCGACUCCUGGCGCCAGUCCCACCAGUGACAUCUGGUCCUGGCUGACCACAGGCCCAUGGUGGCACCUCCUGUUGAAGUUAUUGACCCCUAUACUCAUCGUUUUGUGCCUAUUUUGUCUCUUUACAACAUGCGCUCUGCCUUGUGUCAUGUCCAUGAUCGUAAAGGCUACCAUGCAGGCUUUUGUUCAUUACCAGCUUGUCCAACGAGCUGAAGAGGACCCCUCCCCAUGUGAAUCCUCCUACGUCAGAGGCAUCGUUUGAAUCUCUCACUGAAAGUGCCAAAAGCAAGUGAUGAAAUGAUGUUUUGAUGCCCUGUUCUAAAAAAAUAAAAUAAAAAUAAAAAAACAUUUUUCACGUUUGUACCUUCCCUUUAUCUGUAUUUACUUAUGACGUGUUUGAAAUGAUAAAAAGUGAGGGAUGUUAGAGUUAUAUAAUUAUCAUUUGCUUGCACACUAUAAUCUCCAUAAUAUGUUUGUCUCAUUUCUAUCUUUCAGUAAGAAAACAAUGACCUGAAAAGUUCUGAUUAUACGAGAAUAUGAUGUUCUUGUUGUUUCUGAUUAAAUGACCCACAUUAAUGUCUGCAACCUUCAGUUUUCAAUAAAAGAAGGCUCCAUGCACUAGGAUGGCAGAACUCCUCUGUGAGAGUUCGCGCUGUCACAGACUGAUUCUCCUUCUGCAGAAGUCUAGCAAAAAUGCUCAUCUCCUGUGUGGUUCUUCUCUUUAUUAAGGAAAAAGUCAAAACCCGGACAGCAUGGCCAAAACUAAAGAGCCUUUUAAGGAUUUUAAAGGGAAGAUUGUAGACCUGGGGGGCAUUCCAGAAAGCAGGUUAUGCUAGCUCACACGGCUGGCGGUGGUACUACAUACAUUGUACUACAUACAGAUACAUUGACGUGAAGAAGGGGGGAGUAGCUGGCGUGGGCAUGUUACUGGCUGGAUACUGUGUCCUCAGCUACAUCUGGAGCUACCCUCACAUCAAACUCAGUCGAUGGAGGAAAUACCACUGAAGGACGAGGAAGAGAGGGGUCCACCAUCUUUAUUCAUAUCCAUUCAGUUGAUUUGCUGUGAGAUGUUUAUGGAUUUUUCUGUGGCAUUUAUUUGAAGCCAGGUGGAGAAGGAGUAGGUACAGGGUUGUGCCACUAGAAGGCGCUUCCUGAGUUUUCGGUGAACAGUUCAGUGAGGAGGUGGUGUGCUCUGGGGACCGUUAUUUGACAGUUGUUUGAAGGUUGUUUUGAUCUGCGGAUUUAAGGCGGUUGAAACCUGGCGUGAAGAGUCGUUAAGAGGGUAAACAAACAUAAUAAGGUAAAAAAAAGAAGUUGUGUUGACUGUAAUUGUUGUAAAAGUAUUCAGUUUUAAGAAAUUUGAUGAAAUUAGUAAUUUGAUUUCUCCAAUCGUCGCUGCAUUUUACGUGUGUUUUACAGCAGUGCUCGACGAAGCCAAUGUUGUGACUGGUGAUCAACUUAGCCGUCAUUCCUGUUACAGUUCGGGCCACAGAGCACCUGCUGUAGUUAUUCUUGUGUACUCUUUUUCUUAAAUUUGAUCUUUUUCUCUCUUUUUGUUUUGUUUACUCUUGUUUUCUUUCGUGAUUUUGGAAGAUCGGAAAGUGGCUGGCUAAAAGGAGCAUCUAGAUGGCAUAAUAGAUUCACAUUUUGUUUUUUAUUUUUUUUUUAUCUUCCUGAUUACCAUUUUUUUUAAUCUGAAAUCCUGAGUUACAUUUUUGUUUUGGAAUAAAGAACCCAAAGACAGUUUUGUGUCCUGUGCAGGCUUGAAUUCACCAGGCUACACAAUUUGGUACCAGGAGUGGGGUUCUGCAAAAUUAGCGACUCAGGAGCUUUUGCAAUAUAAUAAAAAAUAUAUUAAAAAAAAAAAAUAAAUUAAAGAGUACACAGAAUAACUAUAGUUGCACCAGCUUAAGUGCCUGGUGAGGAGGAAACCAUUAAAAGGAUCGUCGUGGGAGUGACCACAGCACCGGAGACCUGGCAGGAUCGUCGUGGGAGUGACCACAUCACCGGAGAUCAACUUCCUGCACCCCGGUAGACGACAGCUCACCCUGGGAUGAGGAAGAGUCAUCGGACCAACACAUCUGGACCUGCAACUAUGUAAUACCUGCUGUUGACCUUCGCUCGAACACAUUCAGCCAUGUCGCAGGAAGGCAGUGAGAAUGAGCCAGUCUCCAACAUAGACUCAGAAAUAGACCCCGUCACUGUACUGCAGACGAAGUUAUCAGAACUAAGUUAUAAGCAUGACCAGGCUAUGGCUCAGAUAACCGCUCUGAGUAAUGGAACAAACCGAUCAUACAUUUACAUGCCUAGGGAACGCCCUAUUCAGCCGUUUAGUGGUGAUUCAACGGUCGAUGGCCGCUCUGUUGAUGAAUUUUUAGAUAAAAUCCAGCGAGCUAUUAGAGCUAAAGGUCUGGGAGAGGAAGAUCAGGUGGAUUUUAUUAUGUCACAUCUUAGAGGGUCAGCACUGGAGGAGUUCAAGUUGUGCACAGAAGAUGAGUUUAAGACACCUGAUGAAAUUGUCAACUUACUCAGAGAUGCUUACAGGGAGAAACGCAGUGUAGCACAACUUUUACAGACUUUCUACAGGCGCCACCAUGUAGAGGGUGAAGAUUUUUUUGAAUAUUCCCACGCACUGUCACAGAUCCUUCGCUCAGUUUUAAAAAAAAAAACAGAUGCAAUUGUGGAUGCAAAGAUGGCAGUCAGAGACCAGUUUGUUGAAUGAAUAAGAGAUACCGCACUUAGAAGGGAGCUCCGCAGAAUGCUUAAAGACAAACCUGUCAUGGUGCCUCUGUCAGGUUCCGCCCCCCUCCCCUCUCUGCUUGGCCUAAUUCACCGCAGCUGCCGCCACUCAACUCAUCAGCCUGCCAGACCUUCCUAAGGAGCUCCAGGACCAGUAUUCAACGAGAGUUUGUUGCCUCUAAUGGAAUUUCCUAGUCCACGAGUGGACGGUUAAGCGGACGCGCCGAGCAGAAUUCCAUCCACACUCACCUCCUUCAGUGGAGCGCUGUUGGAGUCCACGCCAACUCUCAAGCCACGGUCGGUCCCUCAAGCUACGUUUCCAGUCCUCGUCUGGCCUCGGAUCCACGGACCCCCUCCAGCCACGUCGCCUCCCUGCAGCAUCAAGACAACCUCACCAGCUGAACUAAUAAACCCAUUACUUACCACUACUCACCUCCUGUCAUCCUUCCGGGUUCCAGCAUCUGGGUCUGCCAAGCCUAGUCAGUCAUGACAAAACCAGAUUCCUCACUUUGUAACAAUUCAGUAGGAUAACUAGUCCUGUUACUAAUAAAUAAAUACACGAAAAGGGGUUCAACACAAAAGAGCGUCUUAAUGCGGAGAAAUAAUUUGCAGAUAACAGAAAAUUUCCGACACAACCCGUGCAUAAAUCAACAGCCAAAAUUAAGGUAUAGUCAGUUCAAACAAUAUGAUCAUCGUUAUAUUCAAAAACAAACAUUCAGGUGAUUAGGCGUGCUCAGCCUUAGUCAUUCAUGGAGUUCAAUUCUUCCGGAAAGUCAAUAAUUCCAAAAAAUGAGGAGAGUCAAUAAAGAAAGGAAAAAAAAUAUUGCCCUAAAGCGAUCGCUAUUUUCUGGUAUACCAGUAACUAAGAAAAUAUGGUUGGAUCUCACCAGCGUUCUUCCAGGAUCGCUGACGUGGCCUCUCGCAGCAAACUCUCCUGCUCCCGAUCAUGAAACACGUCUGCUGUGGGAACCGCGCCUCCCGGUAAUGCUUCCUCCGUCGAUCUAAUGAUCCGGCUCCGGUGGGUUUCUUACUUUUUCCGUUAAAGCCAUCAGCAUCCGAAAAAGUCAGAGAAUUCACUCCAAACAUCCACCUGUGGAGCUGUCAUUCGCGGCCUGCAGGUGACAGGGGAGAUCCUCGUGCUACACCCCUCAUCGGCGUUUUCGAGGAAGUCAGCUGGGCCCGCUGUCUCGUCACCACCCCCUUAUAUAGUCUUUUGAUGACGUUCCCCAUUAUUUAGUUUUGAUUCUUUUUUGUUGGACACAAA
Molecule: long non-coding RNA, 5609 nt
Organism: Oryzias latipes (Japanese medaka)
Lineage: Eukaryota; Metazoa; Chordata; Actinopteri; Beloniformes; Adrianichthyidae
Source: RefSeq, a predicted model, not a curated record